UACGGAGGGUGCAAGCGUUGUCCGGAAUCACUGGGCGUAAAGGGCGCGUAGGCGGCUCAUGAAGGCUGUGGUGAAAGUCCGGGGCUCAACCUCGGAUCGGCCGUGGCGACUCGUGGGCUGGAGCACUGUAGGGGCAGAUGGAAUUCCGGGUGUAGCGGUGGAAUGCGUAGAGAUCCGGAAGAACACCGGUGGCGAAGGCGGUUCUCUGGGCCUUACCUGACGCUGAGGAGCGAAAGCGUGGGGAGCGAACAGG
Molecule: ribosomal RNA, 253 nt
Filed under: uncultured bacterium
Lineage: Bacteria
Description: partial 16S ribosomal RNA
Rfam family: Bacterial small subunit ribosomal RNA
Source: RNAcentral